RNAcentral lists this ribosomal RNA (194 nucleotides) under Salmonella enterica subsp. enterica serovar Newport. Its description in RNAcentral is "partial 23S ribosomal RNA". It matches the Rfam family "Bacterial large subunit ribosomal RNA", at positions 2163 to 2356 of the family's 2925-position model. Lineage: Bacteria; Pseudomonadati; Pseudomonadota; Gammaproteobacteria; Enterobacterales; Enterobacteriaceae. The record is from RNAcentral.
UGUGGACGCCAGUCUGCAUGGAGCCGACCUUGAAAUACCACCCUUUAAUGUUUGAUGUUCUAACGUGGACCCGUGAUCCGGGUUGCGGACAGUGUCUGGUGGGUAGUUUGACUGGGGCGGUCUCCUCCUAAAGAGUAACGGAGGAGCACGAAGGUUGGCUAAUCCUGGUCGGACAUCAGGAGGUUAGUGCAAUG